UACGUAGGGUGCGAGCGUUAAUCGGAAUUACUGGGCGUAAAGCGUGCGCAGGCGGUUUUGUAAGCCAGAUGUGAAAUCCCCGGGCUUAACCUGGGAAUGGCAUUUGGGACUGCAAGGCUUGAGUGCGGCAGAGGAGACUGGAAUUCCUGGUGUAGCAGUGAAAUGCGCAGAUAUCAGGAGGAACACCAACAGCGAAGGCAGCACUCUGGGCCGGUACUGACGCUGAGGAGCGAAAGCAUGGGGAGCGAACAGG
This 253-nucleotide ribosomal RNA is filed under the name uncultured bacterium. Its description in RNAcentral is "partial 16S ribosomal RNA". It matches the Rfam family "Bacterial small subunit ribosomal RNA", at positions 524 to 776 of the family's 1533-position model. The record is from RNAcentral.